Molecule: long non-coding RNA, 1726 nt
Filed under: Phoenix dactylifera (date palm)
Lineage: Eukaryota; Viridiplantae; Streptophyta; Magnoliopsida; Arecales; Arecaceae
Description: long non-coding RNA (PDAC_LNC000127)
Source: RNAcentral
GGUAGAGUAAGCGCCAACUGAAUGAAAGUGAACAGCGAAAAAGUCCAAAACUAAUUAUGCAUAUUCAAUAAUAUAUUGCUUGCAUGCCUAUUUGAGUUGCAAAUACAAUAGAGACAAUACAUGUAUACUAAUUAUGCAUAUUUAAUGAUGUAUUGCUUGCAUGCCUUUUUGAGUUGCCAAUAACAUACAUACAUUGCAUGCAUGCAUGCAUAUGCAUAUAAAUAUAUACAUAUAUAUAGAGAGAGAGGGAGGAAAGAGAGAGAGUUGGAAUUGGCUAUACUCCACUCAAAUCUAGUCAGAUUUAGAUCGAGCAAUGAGAGUCUUAUAUCAAUGAUCCAAGCAGUUGAAUAUAAUCUACUACCUCUAAACUGCUUACACAUCAACCAUCAUGUGAUUGAAGAUUUCUAACAUAUGCAUCAAGUGAUCAAAAAAAAAUAUAUAAUUUGAUGUUAUUUAGAUUGUCCAAUUUUUUGGCCGUUUGAUGUAUAGGUUAGAGGUUUCCAAAUUGCAUGAAUUCUAGUAUGUAAGCAAUUUAGAGGUAGUAGAACACAUCUAAUGGUCAGAUCAUUGAUACAGGACCCCACUGCCUAAUAUAAACUUGACUGGAUCCGAGUAGAGAUCUACACGAGUGUAGCCAAGUUUAGCUCUCUCUCUCUCUCUCUCUCUCUCAUAUAUAUAUAUAUAUAUAUCNNNNNNNNNNNNNNNNNNNNACGUAGUGUAGUACCUAGUUAGUCUCUCUCUCUCUCUCUCUCUCUCUCUCUCCAUAUAUAUAUAUAUAUAUAUGCCACAUUCAGAAAUUACCAAGUUUUGUUCUCCUUUUUGAUUGGUACUUGAUUCAUUUCAUAGCAGACAAAUGGAGCCUUUUCCUCUAAUCCAGCAUCAGGAACCUCAAUUGACAGGAUAUUUUAUUUUCUUCAAUAUAAGCGAACAGGGACCUCGAAAGAAAAAUUGCUUUACGACCCUCAAAGGCAAGCCGACAAGAUAUGAGGCUUGUCGGUUAUCAUUAUGAAUCUAUAACCAUACUUCCCUAUUAAUUGAAACAUAUCCAGACUAAAACAGCCAGGGUGCAUACGGUAUGAUCUAUUGAAGCAAAUAUGAAUGAUGAGGUGGAUGCACGGUAAAUCCAUGAAGUAUAUACAAUUAUAGAUUGAACCAUGGAGAUUAAAAUGAUGCAGAACCACUGUUAUGGUAUCAUCACAAGCAACUUAGACUGGAGCCACUAGACUAUGCUUUACUAAGAUGGAAUCAAGUACAAUGAAAACUGUAUAAGACCUUGGUAACAUGCAUCUAAACUUCUGAAGAAGGACCAGACCAUGGAAAUGAAGGGCGACACUCAAGAAGUAUGAAAAUCAUGAUGGGCUUGAGUAGCUCGAACAAUUUGAAACUUACCCUUAUUAAACUAUGGACGGGGAAAUUCAUAAAUUUUUUGAGACAACUGAAAGGAUAGUGCCGGUAAGUUACAGACAGUAUCAAGGCAACAUGAAAGUCGCAAACACAUAUAUAAACAUAGAAUUGGUGGGUGUGCUGAGUUGCAGGAGGUGGGCAGCCAGCUAGUCCAACUGCUGCUACGCUCCUUGUCUAAUGUUUGUUUAAUCGUAGAUGGAAAGUCACAAUAAACUAGAGCCUCAAAAACCGGCCCAGUGCUGCAAUCUGGCCAAAACUGUAGGUAAAAAUUGCAGGACUUGGGGGUAGAUGGGAGCAUAUAUUGGUGUAACGCUUGACAGUG